AAAAAUUUCAAAUCAAAUCUAAAAAUCUAAAAAAUGCUAAUUAACUUUAAAAAUUCAUAAAAAUUAUUGUGCACCUUAUUUGAGAAUGAUCAUAGAAUUAAAGAUGUUCACAAUCAUCUACAUAAUCUAGGAAAAUGUUAAAAAAAAAAUUGAAAUUUUUGAAUCAACCAGUUCUAUUUCAAAGAAAGGGGAACCAUAAGUGGCUUCCUUGGACCAAUUCCUUGGCUCAAAGACCAGAACUAUUAACUUGAUCUGAUCCUGACUUUGACCCAAUCAAUCCUAGUCUAGUUCAUGAUCUAAACCGAACCAUGGCCAGUAUAAAUGAGAGACCUUGAAAAAUUUUAAAAAUUUAUAAAAAUAAAGUUGAGAAUCUUCUGAGAUUCUUAACGAUAAGGAUAUGUUUGGUAGAAGGCUAAAAACAUCAAGGAUUAAAUGCUAACAUUAUAAGUUUUAACUUUUAAAACAAGGUAAUUAUAAACUUAGUCCCCUAAGAUCAACA
This 499-nucleotide unclassified non-coding RNA is filed under the name Hevea brasiliensis (rubber tree). The record is from RNAcentral. Lineage: Eukaryota; Viridiplantae; Streptophyta; Magnoliopsida; Malpighiales; Euphorbiaceae.